This 205-nucleotide long non-coding RNA is filed under the name Mytilus galloprovincialis (Mediterranean mussel). The record is from RNAcentral. Lineage: Eukaryota; Metazoa; Mollusca; Bivalvia; Mytilida; Mytilidae.
UUUGUGCUGACAUGAAUUAUCAUUGAUAUUGUUACAUUUAUAAAUUAACUGUUUACAAAAUUUGAUUUUUUUGAAAUACUAAGGCUUUUCUACCUAAGGCAUAGAUUACCUUAGCUGUAUUUGGCAAAAUUUUUAGGAAUUUUGGUCCUCAAUGCUCUUUAACUUCGUAUUUUAUUUGGCCUUUUUAACUUUUUUGGAUUCGAGC